UCACACAGUUGCUCCGGGAAGGAGUUCGCAGCUCGCGUGCAUGCUCGGUUGCUGAAGGUAUGCGUUCGUUUAGAUGUUGUUAAUGCACCUAUGGUUAUCAGUGUGGAUUUAGUUUGGUGACAUUUUUGAGGCAACCAUGCUGUGGCAAAGCUGAUUGAUUUGUGGAUUUGAAUUCUGGGUGGCUUAAUUUGUCACUAUCAGCUAUCUAUGAUUGAUGUUGAGUUGUUGCUUUUUGUGGCUGUUGCUUGAUUAGUGUGGUAUUCUCACGUUGUAAUGUCGCAUUAUUACUGGCACUAAGUAACAGAGAGUUCCAGGGUCACAACUAAGUUGGUAUCUACACUAUUUGUAUCAGAAAUACAUGUGACACCAUCAUUUGACAUCUAAACAUUGCUGAUGCUUAUGCCAUUGUAUGCACAACAGGCGCCUUCGCCACAUUGUCAUUCAUUUGUGAGAUGUUUCUCUUUCUCUAUGUUGGCAUGGAUGAUAUAUAGAGUAGUGGAAGAUUGUUAGUGAAACACAUUCAGGUAUGCUAUCUAUCUGAUUCUUUCCAUGUGUGUAGUAACAUAUUCGUUGUUCAAAUCCAGAAAUUGUAACACAUUUUCUAUACUACUAUAUGUAGCCCAAUGAAAUGUAUCGCCUUGAGCUCCAUUAUUUAGGCCAGAUCACAUGAGAGAUUUUGUGUCAAUUGCAUUGACAUCCAAUAAGGUAAAAGCUCUGAUUUAUAUUAGGAGGCGUACCCAUCUGUCUGAAGACUGCUCUUAAUAUAUUCUUCUCUUUCUCAUGUUGUAACAUUUAGAUCAGUCCACUUAUCGGAUUUUAAUUCCAUGUGCUCGGAUGCAUAUUUGAAUAAAUCAUCCAGUCCUUCUAGCUGUUGUACCAACAAAUG
RNAcentral lists this long non-coding RNA (886 nucleotides) under Triticum aestivum (bread wheat). Its description in RNAcentral is "long non-coding RNA (TAES_LNC017485)". Lineage: Eukaryota; Viridiplantae; Streptophyta; Magnoliopsida; Poales; Poaceae. The record is from RNAcentral.